This 28-nucleotide non-coding RNA is filed under the name Mus musculus (house mouse). The record is from RNAcentral. Lineage: Eukaryota; Metazoa; Chordata; Mammalia; Rodentia; Muridae.
UGAGUGAUCCACACAUUACUUCAGGAGG